Potamilus streckersoni is the source of this 75-nucleotide non-coding RNA. NCBI's taxonomy places the organism in Eukaryota, Metazoa, Mollusca, Bivalvia, Unionida, Unionidae. The record is from the annotation of a GenBank genome assembly.
CGCCGGUGGCCUAGUUGGUUAGAGCAUCCGCCUCGGAUGCGGGAGGUCGUGGGUUUGAUCCCACUUGACUAAUGA